RNAcentral lists this long non-coding RNA (230 nucleotides) under Nicotiana benthamiana. RNAcentral describes it as "long non-coding RNA (NBEN_LNC000883)". Lineage: Eukaryota; Viridiplantae; Streptophyta; Magnoliopsida; Solanales; Solanaceae. The record is from RNAcentral.
UGUCUUUCCCUCAAGUUGUUGAUGCAACUCCGGUUCAAGACAAUCUCGAAAAUCUCCCCCAUGAGGACCCUGAUAUGACUAAUGAAAAUCAAACUCAACAACCUCAAGAAACUGAAAUGCCAUAAGGACAAGAACAAGAAACCUAGAUGAUCCAAUUUCGGAUGUGGGAGAGGAGAAAUGCAAUUUCGGAUGAUUAUUAUGUAUUUCUCCAAGAACAAGAAAGUGAUAUU